UACGGAGGGUGCAAGCGUUAUCCGGAUUUACUGGGCUUAAAGGGUGCGUAGGUGGGUAGGUAAGUCAGUGGUGAAAUCUCCGAGCUUAACUCGGAGACUGCCUUUGAUACUAUCUAUCUUGAAUAUCCUGGAGGUGAGCGGAAUAUGUCAUGUAGCGGUGAAAUGCUUAGAUAUGACAUAGAACACCAAUUGCGAAGGCAGCUCACUACGGGGUCAUUGACACUGAGGCACGAAAGCGUGGGGAUCAAACAGG
RNAcentral lists this ribosomal RNA (253 nucleotides) under uncultured bacterium. RNAcentral describes it as "partial 16S ribosomal RNA". It matches the Rfam family "Bacterial small subunit ribosomal RNA", at positions 524 to 776 of the family's 1533-position model. The record is from RNAcentral.